Molecule: ribosomal RNA, 843 nt
Filed under: Ascomycota sp. BR479
Lineage: Eukaryota; Fungi; Ascomycota
Description: eukaryotic LSU rRNA
Rfam family: Eukaryotic large subunit ribosomal RNA
Source: RNAcentral
UUGCCCUAGUAACGGCGAGUGAAGCGGCAACAGCUCAAAUUUGAAAUCUGGCUCUUUCAGAGUCCGAGUUGUAAUUUGCAGAGGGCGCUUUGGCUUUGGCAGCGGUCCAAGUUCCUUGGAACAGGACGUCACAGAGGGUGAGAAUCCCGUACGUGGUCGCUAGCUAUUGCCGUGUAAAGCCCCUUCGACGAGUCGAGUUGUUUGGGAAUGCAGCUCUAAAUGGGAGGUAAAUUUCUUCUAAAGCUAAAUAUUGGCCAGAGACCGAUAGCGCACAAGUAGAGUGAUCGAAAGAUGAAAAGCACUUUGGAAAGAGAGUCAAACAGCACGUGAAAUUGUUGAAAGGGAAGCGCUUGCAGCCAGACUUGCUUGCAGUUGCUCAUCCGGGCUUUUGCCCGGUGCACUCUUCUGUAGGCAGGCCAGCAUCAGUUUGGGCGGUGGGAUAAAGGUCUCUGUCACGUACCUCUCUUCGGGGAGGCCUUAUAGGGGAGACGACAUACCACCAGCCUAGACUGAGGUCCGCGCAUCUGCUAGGAUGCUGGCGUAAUGGCUGUAAGCGGCCCGUCUUGAAACACGGACCAAGGAGUCUAACAUCUAUGCGAGUGUUUGGGUGUCAAGCCCGAGCGCGUAAUGAAAGUGAACGGAGGUGGGAACCCGCAAGGGUGCACCAUCGACCGAUCCUGAAGUUUACGGAAGGAUUUGAGUAAGAGCAUGGCUGUUGGGACCCGAAAGAUGGUGAACUAUGCUUGAAUAGGGUGAAGCCAGAGGAAACUCUGGUGGAGGCUCGCAGCGGUUCUGACGUGCAAAUCGAUCGUCAAAUUUGGGCAUAGGGGCGAAAGACUAAUC